Sardina pilchardus (European sardine) is the source of this 586-nucleotide long non-coding RNA. RefSeq lists it as uncharacterized. The transcript is spliced from 4 exons. The record is from RefSeq and is a predicted model, not a curated record. NCBI's taxonomy places the organism in Eukaryota, Metazoa, Chordata, Actinopteri, Clupeiformes, Clupeidae.
GGGGGUUCUACUGCUGAUCUUCAUAACAGGACUGCGUAUUAAAUACACCAUUGAAAUAAGCCAGGAAAGAGAUGAACUACUGCACAACUACAACAACACUCGUUAUCAUCCACAAAAAGAUGAGGUACCAUGUCCCAGAGGAUGGACAUUUCAUGACAAAUGUUAUCUCAUCUCGUCUAUUUCGAAAAAUUGGUCUGAGGCUAGACAAGUCUGCCAAGCCAUGGGAGCAGAUCUGGUGACCAUCGAGAGUGAGGAAGAACAAGUUUAUAUCAAUUCACUGGUGACUAGAUGGGGUUGGAUUGGACUACACAGAUGUGGCAUGAGCUGGUCGUGGGUGAAUGGUAGACCACUCUCCACAGGGCCUGUGUUCUGGGAACCCGGACAGCCCAUCAGCAAAACGAAGCACUGUGCUAUAACAAGCCCAAAUGUGGAGAACCCCACCUCCAGCUGGCAUGACUAUCUAUGCUCCUCUACCUUUUACCCCAUUUGUGAAAAAUCAGCUAACUAAUUCGGCUAAUUCAAGAAGAAAUUGCUGUCCCAUAUUGACAAGAUAAUGAAUGUUGAUUUAAAAGAAAUUAAAAGUCAU